CUACGGGAGGCUGCAGUGAGGAAUAUUGCACAAUGGAGGAAACUCUGAUGCAGCAACGCCGCGUGGAGGAUGACGCAUUUCGGUGUGUAAACUCCUUUUAUAUGUCAAGAAAAUGACGGUAGCAUAUGAAUAAGCACCGGCUAACUCCGUGCCAGCAGCCGCGGUAAUACGGAGUGUGCAAGCGUUACUCGGAAUCACUGGGCGUAAAGGACGCGUAGGCGGGAUAUCAAGUCAGGUGUGAAAUCCUACAGCUUAACUGUAGAACUGCACUUGAAACUGGUAACCUAGAGUAUGGGAGGGGGAGAUGGAAUUAGUGGUGUAGGGGUAAAAUCCGUAGAUAUCACUAGGAAUACCUAAAGCGAAGGCGAUCUCCUGGAACAUAACUGACGCUAAGGCGUGAAAGCGUGGGGAGCAAACAGGAUUAGAUACCCUCGUAGUC
Molecule: ribosomal RNA, 439 nt
Filed under: uncultured bacterium
Lineage: Bacteria
Description: partial 16S ribosomal RNA
Rfam family: Bacterial small subunit ribosomal RNA
Source: RNAcentral